RNAcentral lists this ribosomal RNA (725 nucleotides) under uncultured bacterium. RNAcentral's name for it is "bacterial SSU rRNA". It matches the Rfam family "Bacterial small subunit ribosomal RNA", at positions 48 to 773 of the family's 1533-position model. The record is from RNAcentral.
CUAACACAUGCAAGUCGAGGGGUAUAAGUCUUCGGAUUUAGAGACCGGCGCACGGGUGCGUAACGCGUAUGCAAUCUACCUUAUACUAAGGGAUAGCCCAGAGAAAUUUGGAUUAAUACCUUAUAGUAUAUGAUUGGGACAUCCCCAGACAUAUUAAAGAUUUAUCGGUAUAAGAUGAGCAUGCGUCCCAUUAGCUAGUUGGUGUGGUAACGGCAUACCAAGGCUAUGAUGGGUAGGGGUCCUGAGAGGGAGAUCCCCCACACUGGUACUGAGACACGGACCAGACUCCUACGGGAGGCAGCAGUGAGGAAUAUUGGUCAAUGGGCGCAAGCCUGAACCAGCCAUGCCGCGUGCAGGAUGACGCAUCUAUGGUGUGUAAACUGCUUUUGUACAGGAAGAAACCCUGCCACGUGUGGCAGAUUGACGGUACUGUAAGAAUAAGGAUCGGCUAACUCCGUGCCAGCAGCCGCGGUAAUACGGAGGAUCCAAGCGUUAUCCGGAAUCAUUGGGUUUAAAGGGGUCCGUAGGCGGUUUUAUAAGUCAGUGGUGAAAUCCGGCAGCUCAACUGUCGAACUGCCAUUGAUACUGUAGAACUUGAAUUAUUGUGAAGUAACUAGAAUAUGUAGUGUAGCGGUGAAAUGCUUAGAUAUUACAUGGAAUACCCAUUGCGAAGGCAGGUUACUAACAAUAUAUGACGCUGAUGGACGAAAGCGUGGGGAGCGAAC